Etheostoma cragini (Arkansas darter) is the source of this 97-nucleotide long non-coding RNA. RefSeq lists it as uncharacterized. The transcript has 3 exons. Lineage: Eukaryota; Metazoa; Chordata; Actinopteri; Perciformes; Percidae. The record is from RefSeq and is a predicted model, not a curated record.
AAAACUCCUAAGGCCGUUUCAUGGUUGUGCCGAGGCUCCACGCAGAGCUUUCACCGUAGCCUACGUAAGUGGCCUGGUGUCAUACUGGUUGCACUGG